UUUAUUUCUCAGGGCAAGGUGAAAUUCCUUACUGGUGGUAACUAUACUUAAUAGAAGUCCACGAGCGCUUUAUUUUAUAAAGGUCAGCAGAUUUGGUGCAAAUCCAAAACCAACAGUUAAAGUCUGGAUGGAAGAGAAUAUAA
Molecule: non-coding RNA, 143 nt
Filed under: Arcobacter nitrofigilis
Lineage: Bacteria; Pseudomonadati; Campylobacterota; Epsilonproteobacteria; Campylobacterales; Arcobacteraceae
Also listed under: 1 other name
Description: FMN sequence
Rfam family: FMN riboswitch aptamer (RFN element)
About the family: The RFN element is a highly conserved domain that is found frequently in the 5'-untranslated regions of prokaryotic mRNAs that encode for flavin mononucleotide (FMN) biosynthesis and transport proteins. This element is a metabolite-dependent riboswitch that directly binds FMN in the absence of proteins.
Source: RNAcentral